AGAGUUUGAUCCUGGCUCAGGAUGAACGCUAGCGGCAGGCCUAAUACAUGCAAGUCGAACGGGCUGGAGUAGCAAUACUCUAGUUAGUGGCGCACGGGUGCGUAACGCGUAUGCAACCUACCUUUUAUUGGGGGAUAGCCCGAAGAAAUUCGGAUUAAUACCGCAUAACACUGUUUGAGGGCAUCUGAAGACAGUUAAAGCUACGGCGAUAAAAGAUGGGCAUGCGUGUCAUCAGCUAGUUGGUGAGGUAACGGCUCACCAAGGCGACGAUGACUAGGGGUUCUGAGAGGAUGAUCCCCCACACUGGUACUGAGAUACGGACCAGACUCCUACGGGAGGCAGCAGUAGGGAAUAUUGGGCAAUGGCCGAAAGGCUGACCCAGCCAUGCCGCGUGCCGGAUGAAGGCCUUCUGGGUUGUAAACGGCUUUUACCAGGGAAGAAACUACCUUUGCGAAGGGAACUGACGGUACCUGGGGAAUAAGCACCGGCUAACUCCGUGCCAGCAGCCGCGGUAAUACGGAGGGUGCCAGCGUUGUCCGGAUUUAUUGGGUUUAAAGGGUGCGUAGGCGGCUUAAUAAGUCCGUGGUGAAAGCCAACAGCUCAACUGUUGAACUGCCAUGGAUACUGUUAAGCUGGAGUACAGACGAGGUAGGCGGAAUGGAUGGUGUAGCGGUGAAAUGCAUAGAUACCAUCCAGAACCCCGAUUGCGAAGGCAGCUUACUAGACUGUCACUGACGCUGAGGCACGAAAGCGUGGGGAGCGAACAGGAUUAGAUACCCUAGUAGUCC
RNAcentral lists this ribosomal RNA (788 nucleotides) under uncultured bacterium. Its description in RNAcentral is "bacterial SSU rRNA". It matches the Rfam family "Bacterial small subunit ribosomal RNA", at positions 8 to 796 of the family's 1533-position model. The record is from RNAcentral.